RNAcentral lists this microRNA (21 nucleotides) under Columba livia (rock pigeon). Its description in RNAcentral is "cli-miR-9615-3p". Lineage: Eukaryota; Metazoa; Chordata; Aves; Columbiformes; Columbidae. The record is from miRBase by way of RNAcentral.
UUGCACAGCUUUGGUAGGAAG